UACGUAGGGGGCAAGCGUUGUCCGGAAUCAUUGGGCGUAAAGCGCGUGUAGGCGGCUCGAUAAGUCUGCUGUGAAAGUCCAGGGCUCAACCCUGGGAUGCCGGUGGAUACUGUCGAGCUCGAGUCCGGAAGAGGAGUGUGGAAUUCCUGGUGUAGCGGUGAAAUGCGUAGAUAUCGGGAGGAACACCAGUGGCGAAGGCGGCGACCUGGGCCAAUAUUGACGCUGAGGUGCGAAAGCGUGGGGAGCAAACAGG
RNAcentral lists this ribosomal RNA (253 nucleotides) under uncultured bacterium. Its description in RNAcentral is "partial 16S ribosomal RNA". It matches the Rfam family "Bacterial small subunit ribosomal RNA", at positions 524 to 776 of the family's 1533-position model. The record is from RNAcentral.